This 260-nucleotide long non-coding RNA is filed under the name Lathyrus oleraceus (garden pea). RNAcentral's name for it is "Pisum sativum (pea) long non-coding RNA (PSAT_LNC003275)". Lineage: Eukaryota; Viridiplantae; Streptophyta; Magnoliopsida; Fabales; Fabaceae. The record is from RNAcentral.
AGUGACUCCAAACACAAGAGAGAGACGAAUAGUGGUAUUUGGAUUUCCAAAAAAAUGGUUUAUAAAAACACUUUAAUUUAAAAUAGUCUAUGUUAGAAGAUAUUAAUAGAUAGAGAUAAAGGAGAAAAAUAAUAAAAAAGAUAAAAGACAUAGAGAGGAGAAGUAAAAAAGAUAAAUAAAUAAAAUAAAACAAAUAAGGGAUAGAAAGAUCACAUAAGAUAUUUAUCUUGGUUUGACCUACACCAUAUGGCCUACUCUAG